CCCUUAGAUGUUCUGGGCCGCACGCGCGCUACACUGUCGGAUUCAGCGAGUCUUAACCUUAACCGAAAGGUUUGGGUAAUCUUUUGAAAGUCCGACGUGAUGGGGAUUGAUCAUUGCAAUUAUUGAUCAUGAACGAGGAAUUCCUAGUAAGCGCGAGCCAUCAGCUCGCGUUGAUUACGUCCCUGCCCUUUGUACACACCGCCCGUCGCUACUACCGAUUGAAUGGUUUAGUGAGGACUCCUGAUUGGCGCCGCCGCCCCGGCAACGGAGCAGCGGACUGCCGAAAAGUUGUUCAAACUUGAUCAUUUAGAGGAAGUAAAAGUCGUAACA
RNAcentral lists this ribosomal RNA (330 nucleotides) under uncultured eukaryote. Its description in RNAcentral is "partial 18S ribosomal RNA". It matches the Rfam family "Eukaryotic small subunit ribosomal RNA", at positions 1470 to 1796 of the family's 1831-position model. The record is from RNAcentral.